UACGUAGGUGGCAAGCGUUGUCCGGAUUUACUGGGCGUAAAGAGCGCGCAGGCGGUCGUUCAAGUCGCGUGUGAAAGCCCCCGGCUCAACUGGGGAGGGUCACGCGAUACUGAUCGACUCGAAGGCAGGAGAGGGUAGUGGAAUUCCCGGUGUAGUGGUGAAAUGCGUAGAUAUCCGGCGGAACACCGGUGGUGAAGACGGUCUCCUGGGCCGAGGGCCGACGCUGAGGCGCGAGAGCGUGGGGAGCGAACCGG
Molecule: ribosomal RNA, 254 nt
Filed under: uncultured bacterium
Lineage: Bacteria
Description: partial 16S ribosomal RNA
Rfam family: Bacterial small subunit ribosomal RNA
Source: RNAcentral